Molecule: long non-coding RNA, 592 nt
Organism: Bombus pascuorum
Lineage: Eukaryota; Metazoa; Arthropoda; Insecta; Hymenoptera; Apidae
Exons: 3
Source: RefSeq, a predicted model, not a curated record
CCGGCGUCGUCGCCAGUUAUCGGCGAACCGCGAUUCGAUCCUCGUCGUUUCGAGCCGCGCUAGCGACGAGAUGUAAACGCGACUCGACAAAGUUUCCUCGUACACGACGUUGCUCUGGUAAACGUGGCGUGUCGGCUAUACACGCGUGUUCACUCGUCACGCAGGACCAUAUUUUCUCGUGGUGCGAACGAAAACCCUUGGAUUUCGAGGCGUCUCGAUAUUAUUAUAAAAUAUACUCAUCGCGAAAGGUGUUGUGUGUGCUACGAUCAUUUCUAUUCAUUUUCCUUUUUCUUUUUCUUUUGGAGCAAACUUGUUGUCUUUGGUUUUAUUCGCUGGUGACAUUUAGGACAUCGAGGUGUACGAUUCGAAAGGAGCGUGCGGUGGACCACGGUGGAAAGCACGAACUGCAGUUAGAAAUAAAGGAUAGCAUGGUGUGUUAUGGCUCCUUGCGUAUUGCAGCUGUCUGUCAUAAUUGCUGAAGUUGCACCGAGAGCAACGUUUCGAAACAGAAGAAACCAAUGAACGUUGAUCUCUUCGUAACACGAUCCUAACCUCAAACAUGUUCUCCUGGACGAGCGACUAACCAUCCUAU